This 505-nucleotide ribosomal RNA is filed under the name Nesophrosyne sp. 105 GMB-2012. Its description in RNAcentral is "partial 16S ribosomal RNA". Lineage: Eukaryota; Metazoa; Arthropoda; Insecta; Hemiptera; Cicadellidae. The record is from RNAcentral.
UAAGAAUUUAAAAGUCGAACAGACUCAUCCCUAAGAAUACUGCUUCUUAAAAUUUUCUUAAUUCAACAUCGAGGUCGCAAAAUAAAAUAUAGAUAUGAACUCCCCAUUAAAAUUACGCUGUUAUCCCUAAGGUAACUUAAUCUUAUUUUCCUAUUAUUAAGGAUCUAAAAUAACAUAUAUAAAUGAAUUUUUAAACUAAAGUUAACUUAUUUAGUCACCACCCCAGCAAAAUAUAAAUUAACAUUAAAAAAUAUUAAAAUAAAAAUUAAUAAUAUAAACUAAUAUAAAGUUCUAUAGGGUCUUAUCGUCCCAAUAAGUCAAUAAAGCAUUUUAACUUUAAAUUUAAAUUUUAACAUUUAAAAAAAUAAAAUAUAAUUCUCAUACAUCCAUUCAUACAAGCUUUCAAUUAAAAAACUAAUUACUAUGCUACCUUUGCACAGUCAAAAUACUGCAGCCAUUUAGAAAUUUUUAAACCAUAGGGCAGAAGAUACUUUUUAUAUAAACA